Molecule: long non-coding RNA, 262 nt
Filed under: Astyanax mexicanus (Mexican tetra)
Lineage: Eukaryota; Metazoa; Chordata; Actinopteri; Characiformes; Acestrorhamphidae
Description: lncRNA (ENSAMXG00005011374.1)
Source: RNAcentral
CUCCCUUCCUAAAGUAGCUUUUUCAUCUCUUUCUUGUUCUCGCUCCCCUUUUUUUCCCUCAGAAAGAGGAAUGCCCUCCUACAUGGAUCCAGAAACAUCUGUUAGGGAGCCUCAGAGGAGUUAGAGAGAGACGACUGGCUUUAACAGACAAAUGCAGCGCAGAGUCAGCUCAGCACAGACUGCAGGGUAAAAGAGCUUCUGAGAGUUCUUCUGUUUUACAUCCCUUGCUCCCCGACCCUGUCUAAAAAUUGCUCUCUUUUUC